GACGAACGCUGGCGGCGUGCCUAAUACAUGCAAGUAGAACGCUGAAGGAGGAGCUUGCUUCUCUGGAUGAGUUGCGAACGGGUGAGUAACGCGUAGGUAACCUGCCUGGUAGCGGGGGAUAACUAUUGGAAACGAUAGCUAAUACCGCAUAAGAGUAGAUGUUGCAUGACAUUUGCUUAAAAGGUGCAAUUGCAUCACUACCAGAUGGACCUGCGUUGUAUUAGCUAGUUGGUGGGGUAACGGCUUACCAAGGCGACGAUACAUAGCCGACCUGAGAGGGUGAUCGGCCACACUGGGACUGAGACACGGCCCAGACUCCUACGGGAGGCAGCAGUAGGGAAUCUUCGGCAAUAGACGGAAGUCUGACCGAGCAACGCCGCGUGAGUGAAGAAGGUUUUCGGAUCGUAAAGCUCUGUUGUAAGAGAAGAACGAGUGUGAGAGUGGAAAGUUCACACUGUGACGGUAGCUUACCAGAAAGGGACGGCUAACUACGUG
Molecule: ribosomal RNA, 495 nt
Filed under: uncultured bacterium
Lineage: Bacteria
Description: partial 16S ribosomal RNA
Rfam family: Bacterial small subunit ribosomal RNA
Source: RNAcentral